AUUGAACGCUGGCGGCAUGCCUUACACAUGCAAGUCGAACGGCAGCACGGGAGCAAUCCUGGUGGCGAGUGGCGAACGGGUGAGUAAUACAUCGGAACGUGCCCAAUCGUGGGGGAUAACGCAGCGAAAGCUGUGCUAAUACCGCAUACGAUCUACGGAUGAAAGCAGGGGGUCGCAAGACCUUGCGCGAAUGGAGCGGCCGAUGGCAGAUUAGGUAGUUGGUGAGGUAAAGGCUCACCAAGCCGUCGAUCUGUAGCUGGUCUGAGAGGACGACCAGCCACACUGGGACUGAGACACGGCCCAGACUCCUACGGGAGGCAGCAGUGGGGAAUUUUGAACAAUGGGCGAAAGCCUGAUCCAGCCAUGCCGCGUGCAGGAUGAAGGCCUUCGGGUUGUAAACUGCUUUUGUACGGAACGAAACGGCCUUUUCUAAUAAAGAGGGCUAAUGACGGUACCGUAAGAAUAAGCACCGGCUAACUACGUGCCAGCAGCCGCGGUAAUACGUAGGGUGCAAGCGUUAAUCGGAAUUACUGGGCGUAAAGCGUGCGCAGGCGGUUAUGUAAGACAGUUGUGAAAUCCCCGGGCUCAACCUGGGAACUGCAUCUGUGACUGCAUAGCUAGAGUACGGUAGAGGGGGAUGGAAUUCCGCGUGUAGCAGUGAAAUGCGUAGAUAUGCGGAGGAACACCGAUGGCGAAAGGCAAUCCCCUGGACCUGUACUGACGCUCAUGCACGAAAGCGUGGGGGAGCAAACAGG
RNAcentral lists this ribosomal RNA (755 nucleotides) under uncultured Comamonadaceae bacterium. RNAcentral's name for it is "bacterial SSU rRNA". It matches the Rfam family "Bacterial small subunit ribosomal RNA", at positions 28 to 776 of the family's 1533-position model. Lineage: Bacteria; Pseudomonadati; Pseudomonadota; Betaproteobacteria; Burkholderiales; Comamonadaceae. The record is from RNAcentral.